GAUGAACGCUGGCGGCGUGCCUAAUACAUGCAAGUCGAGCGAACAGACGAGGAGCUUGCUCCUCUGACGUUAGCGGUGGACGGGUGAGUAACACGUGGAUAACCUACCUAUAAGACUGGGAUAACUUCGGGAAACCGGAGCUAAUACCGGAUAACAUGUUGAACCGCAUGGUUCAACAGUGAAAGACGGUCUUGCCGUCACUUAUAGAUGGAUCCGCGCCGCAUUAGCUAGUUGGUAAGGUAACGGCUUACCAAGGCAACGAUGCGUAGCCGACAUGGGAGGGUGAUCGGCCACACUGGAACUGAGACACGGACCAGACUCCUAGGGGAGGCAGCAGUAGGGAAGCUUCCGCAAUGGGCGAAAGCCUGACGGAGCAACGCCGCGUGAGUGAAGAAGGUCUUCGGAUCGUAAAACUCUGUUAUUAGGGAAGAACAAAUGUGUAAGUAACUAUGCACGUCUUGACGGUACCUAAUCAGAAAGCCACGGCUAACUACGUGCCAGCCGCCGCCGUAA
RNAcentral lists this ribosomal RNA (513 nucleotides) under uncultured bacterium. RNAcentral describes it as "partial 16S ribosomal RNA". It matches the Rfam family "Bacterial small subunit ribosomal RNA", at positions 28 to 523 of the family's 1533-position model. The record is from RNAcentral.